This 228-nucleotide unclassified non-coding RNA is filed under the name Hevea brasiliensis (rubber tree). Lineage: Eukaryota; Viridiplantae; Streptophyta; Magnoliopsida; Malpighiales; Euphorbiaceae. The record is from RNAcentral.
GUAACACAGGGAGAAGGACGAGAAACCAAUAUCACGCUCUAGCUCUAGAUCUUCACUUGAUUUGAUGAUCGUUAAAGCUCACUGGCUAGCUAGAAUAAUUAAACCAACUUAACACACAAACAGGCUUGAAAACACAAGGAAAAUCUUAUAUAAUUUUCCGACUUUAUUUGCUGCAAUGGCUUGAAGAACAAUGGUUACAGGCUUGAAAUCCUUGGAUUUGGAGAAGCA